CCUACGGGAGGCAGCAGUGGGGAAUUUUGGACAAUGGGCGCAAGCCUGAUCCAGCAAUGCCGCGUGCAGGAUGAAGGCCUUCGGGUUGUAAACUGCUUUUGUACGGAGCGAAACGGUCUGCUUUAAUACAGUAGGCUAAUGACGGUACCGUAAGAAUAAGCACCGGCUAACUACGUGCCAGCAGCCGCGGUAAUACGUAGGGUGCGAGCGUUAAUCGGAAUUACUGGGCGUAAAGCGUGCGCAGGCGGUUAUAUAAGACAGAUGUGAAAUCCCCGGGCUCAACCUGGGACCUGCAUUUGUGACUGUAUAGCUAGAGUACGGUAGAGGGGGAUGGAAUUCCGCGUGUAGCAGUGAAAUGCGUAGAUAUGCGGAGGAACACCGAUGGCGAAGGCAAUCCCCUGGACCUGUACUGACGCUCAUGCACGAAAGCGUGGGGAGCAAACAGGAUUAGAUACCCUGGUAGUCCACGCCCUUAAACGAUGUCAACUGGUUGUUGGGUCUUCACUGACUCAGUAACGAAGCUAACGCGUGAAGUUGACCGCCUGGGGAGUACGGCCGCAAGGUUGAAACUUAAAGGAUUGACCGGNNGAGAGNGCGAGACGCACGAGGAGNGG
RNAcentral lists this ribosomal RNA (614 nucleotides) under uncultured bacterium. Its description in RNAcentral is "bacterial SSU rRNA". It matches the Rfam family "Bacterial small subunit ribosomal RNA", at positions 338 to 944 of the family's 1533-position model. The record is from RNAcentral.